RNAcentral lists this ribosomal RNA (510 nucleotides) under uncultured bacterium. Its description in RNAcentral is "partial 16S ribosomal RNA". It matches the Rfam family "Bacterial small subunit ribosomal RNA", at positions 28 to 507 of the family's 1533-position model. The record is from RNAcentral.
GACGAACGCUGGCGGCGUGCUUAACACAUGCAAGUCGAACGAAGAGCGAUGGGAGCUUGCUUCUAUCAAUCUUAGUGGCGAACGGGUGAGUAACGCGUAAUCAACCUGCCCUUCAGAGGGGGACAACAGUUGGAAACGACUGCUAAUACCGCAUACGAUCUAAACUCGGCAUCGAGGAUAGAUGAAAGGUGGCCUCUACAUGUAAGCUAUCACUGAAGGAGGGGAUUGCGUCUGAUUAGCUAGUUGGAGGGGUAACGGCCCACCAAGGCGAUGAUCAGUAGCCGGUCUGAGAGGAUGAACGGCCACAUUGGGACUGAGACACGGCCCAGACUCCUACGGGAGGCAGCAGUGGGGAAUCUUCCGCAAUGGACGAAAGUCUGACGGAGCAACGCCGCGUGAGUGAUGACGGCCUUCGGGUUGUAAAGCUCUGUUAAUCGGGACGAAAGGCCUUCUUGCGAAUAGUGAGAAGGAUUGACGGUACCGGAAUAGAAAGCCACGGCUAACUACGUG